Molecule: long non-coding RNA, 2145 nt
Filed under: Papio anubis (olive baboon)
Lineage: Eukaryota; Metazoa; Chordata; Mammalia; Primates; Cercopithecidae
Description: lncRNA (ENSPANG00000038635.1)
Source: RNAcentral
UAUAUGUAUAUAGGUUAAAUGUCUUUUAUCAGAUUUAAGUUUUUCAUAUAUUAUUUCUCAAACUUUUUGUGGUCUUAAUGGUGUCUUCUGUAAUUUUGAUGAAGUCCAAUUCAUUAUUUCUUUCCUUUACAGAUCAUGCUUUUGGUGUCAUAUCUAUGAAACUGAAGAACCGUCAGAGGGAUAAGAAGAAAACCAGAAAACGUGUCAUGAAACCCCAGAGAAGCAUGGCAUGUGGAAGGGACGAAGGAAGAGAACAUUAAUCUUGAACACUAGAGAAGAAAGGGAGAGAGAUGGAUGAUCUCAGAGCAGUAGAAAACAGCCUUUUAAACACCAUGACAGCAUGGAAUCUUCAUAGAAGGUAUGUCUGCUUUAGACUGUAGGACAAUCUCUUUUUUUCUUCUUUUUUGUUUCAAUCAAUGUGAUCACAAAGAGUCAACACAGGUUUGGUAGAGUGAGAAGAAGUAGUGCAGCCUAUUUGCUUGUUUGUUUGUUUUUCUGUUAUUUCAUCCUUAAAGGUAAACAAAACCCUCCAUUAUAUGUGCUUCUAAGGCUUUUAAAAAUCAAAGGAGACAGUGGGAAGUCCAGGUGAUAUGGAAAUAGUCUGAUAUUGUAUCUGCAAAGCCCCUAGCCUCAGCAGGCACAUCCUGGGUUCCAUUUCUCUGGUGUCCCUUCCCCUGCCCCGCUUCCCUGUUUGAAGUGGCUGGGCACAUUGCCUCCACCUGGAAGCUGAUAAGACACCCUCACUGCACACUGUCAAGGUUUUCCAAGAAAAAUAGCAAAGAAUGCAGUUGUGUUGAGGUACAGGAGUUGCUGACUGGCAGGGUCUCUGAAGAAUCAACAAGCCCACGUUUCUGCCUCCUGUCAUGUUGCUAAGCUGAUUCUCAGCUCAAAAUUAAUAAAAUUGAUGUGUUUUUGUAAAUCAACAAGUACAGAGCUUCAGCUCAUUUUCUGAAUCUCGAUGUGCCAAUUUAAGAACAUUCCCCUCUGCUCAGAAAUUACUCUGAAGAAUAUUUGUAGGAAAGGCAUUGCCCAGAAAGUGGUUGUAAUUUUGUGUAUGUUUGUUCAUAUUAAUGAUAAUUUGGCUAAUAUUUGUUGGGCACCACUGUGAGCUUGGCUCUGUGCUUGGCAGUGGGGUCAGAGCGGUGAACAAGUCUCUACUCUGGGGAUGUUUCAAUAUUUAAGGAAAGAACUUGGUUAUUUUUGAGGUGGUAUUGCAUAGAAGAAUUGAACAUUGAAAACACGGUUUAAAAACAAACGGUAUUAAACACUACAUAUAAGUCCUCAAAGAUUUUGCUUUUUGUCCUUUUAUUAGGGAGGAGCAUUUAAUAUCAAAAUUACUAUCUGAGUGGCCAUAAUUCAAGAGAAAAAAACUGCAGAGGCUUGUGAUUUUAGUAGGAGAAUUUUUUGUAGCUAUCUGUCUCACAAAGAACAUCUGUGGGAUGCAUUCUUAUUUGAAGGAAGUUUAACUGUCUCGGAGCUUUUGUGUUUUUACAUCGAGGAGCGUACAUUUGAAGGAGAAGUUUCUAUCCUUAUAUUUCAAGCAGAUUUGCAUCAAAGCAUAAGCUUCAUGCACUGUUCAAGACCUUCCCACUAGGUUGUAUCCUAUUAUUUUGCAUAAUUGUAACCAUACUUCGGUGCUGCAUUGAUUCUCUAACCAUUUCCUUUGGGAUAAUCGGAAACAUCUCUUUUGAGAUUGAGUCAGGAAUGUAGAAGUAGAACUAAUCAGGUUCCUGUGGCGUGUACCCGUUUCAAACCACCGUGCUCUUGGAGCUUUCUCCAUUUCUUUCUGUGGUAUGUCCGUUUACUGGAAAUAAUCGCCUCAAAACAACUAGGUCUAUCUUGCUGAGUUUUACCCGAUGGUUUACCUUUUCUCUCAUCUUCUCUUUCCUCUUGCCUUCAUGCCUCCCCAUACUUCAGGAGUUAUGCUCCUUUUCUUUGUGACAUUUACUUGAUGAGUAUGACUGUAAAGACACUGUUAAUGUCUCCCCUCGCCCCCACCCUCCCCACUCAUCUUUGUGUCCUGGAUAAGGGAGAGCUUUGAUUUGAGGGAACUAAGAGUGAAUGGUGAGUGAGCAGGCUGGAGCUCCUUGGGAGCCAGGCCAUGCAUCAGCUCCAACAAGCCCCGCCACUCAGGUGCAGCCAUCU